Molecule: long non-coding RNA, 3485 nt
Organism: Alligator mississippiensis (American alligator)
Lineage: Eukaryota; Metazoa; Chordata; Crocodylia; Alligatoridae
Exons: 3
Source: RefSeq, a predicted model, not a curated record
AUCCGCGCUGCCGCGCAACCCAACGUGAAACAGGGCAGCCAGGCGCGCCGGAGCCAAUAGCAGCGAGGCAUUGCCGCGGGUAGCCAAUGAGCAGGCUCCGAACGUUGCGGGGGGAGGGCAUGUUGGGCUGCGCGCCGGCGUGCAUCUCCACGCCAGCGUGCACAGCAUCCACCUGACCCCACCGCGAGAGUCAAAGUGUAAUUUGAAUCCUGCGAGAUAUAUAUAUAUAGAGAGAGAGAGAGAGAAGCAGGGCUGGAAGGGACCUCUAGAGGUCACCUAGUCCAACCAGGCCACCAGCCCUUCCUCAUGAGGUGCUGCCCUCGCCUGCAUGAUGACAAAUGACCCAGGCAUCGCUGUGGGCAACUCAGGGAAAACCCCUGCCCCAGGAGCAUCUGCCCAGCUAGGGAUAGAGCCAGAAGCUAACUUGCUGGAGGAACAAUCGAGGGCAUGAUGACAUCAUUGCCACCAGCCUGGGAGAUGGCUCUCCACAAUGCGACAGCCUGUGAGCAGAAGUCCUUAGCUUUGUCUGACUGGCCAACCCCAGCAUCAGGAGAAGACUUGGAACUGUUCUGAAAGUAGAGAGCCGAUGGAAAGGAGACCCUGGCAUCUUCUGGGGACCCAGCUGCCCAGGGAGUGGAGAUCCCAGUGUGUCUUGCAGAGUGGGUAGCUCAUAAAGCAGAGGUCACCACAUCACUUUGGGGUCUGGAGAACCACCUGGCUGGGUUUUGCCCCACUGAGAUCUUGGACCAGGUCCUCAGCUGGAGGAGACGGGCAGCGUUUCAUUGUCUUUAGUGGGUUUCUUCUAAUUUAUGUGAGCUGAGAACCUGGCCCAGUAUCUCCUCCUUUCCUGCUAUCACCAGCUUCAUCUUUUAUUUUGAUGAAAGAAACCUGCUGGUUUUGGGCAUCCAUGGGUCUAUUUCUGGAUGGAGUAGAGCUCCCUUUUUCCUUGGCACUGCUGUGGAGUAGGAGACAUGAAGUUCUCUGCAGUAAAGCAGUGCUGGCUCCCUCACAGAAGCAGUAGCAAGCCUUGUCCUGGGUUGAGCAAUGUGGAUUUUCUGUCAGUCCCUGGGUGUCUUUGGCCAGAAGAAAAUCCUUAGUUAAAACCUUAUCUGAGGAGUGACAGAAACUCAAUAAUCCUCCUUCUCAGCAGGCUGCCCAUUACAUUAGACGGAGAAAAAUUCGACCCUGGUGAUGGCCACAUGCCUGGAACCCGCUCAAGGUUUCCAGUCAUUGGUCUGCCAGUGACUUUGAGGUUUAGCCCUGCUGAUGUGAGUUUUUUGUUUCCAGGUUUAUUUUUCCCCUUUCCCUUUAAAAACAAAUCCAUCUGGUAAGAAGUGCCGAACUGAGGGUCCUGGAGAAUGUCAUGCUGCAGCAGGGCUAGUGAUAGGGCUGCCUUCAAACACCUACCCCUACCAAUGUGCUUCCCACCCUUAGAAGACCUGAGAGGGGUGUCCAUGUGCCAGACCCUUCCACUUCCUGGCUUCUCUCCCAAGACUGCCAGUGAGUGGGCCGUGGCUUCUGCGACAUGGAUGCUUGUCAGCUGGGGGCUGAACUGAGAACACAAAAGCCAUUAUAAAGGGCUGUCAGCUGACAUGAGCUGUCAGGAAUGGAUUCAAAGCCAGGUGGCUAGAGGCACAUGUGGGGCUCUCCCUCCCAAUCCAAUGUGCAGUGCGAGCCAUCCUUCCCUCCAGUUGCAAUGGCAUUGGUGUUGGGUCGUCUCUGUGGUUGUAGCAAGCUUCCCAGCCUACCUAACCUGCCUCACUGCAGCCUUAUCUCUCCUCCUCUAGAGAGUCCAAGGUGUCAGCAAGCAACAAGAGCUUUCCUCCUCCUUGGACUGGCCGCUUGUAGCUGGCUCUUUAGGAGUUGCGCUUUGGACCUCUCAGUGCGAUUGAGGCAGGCAGGACAAUCCCCAGCAGACUCCAGCUGGUAGGGAGUUGGCUCCAAAUGUCAUGGGAUGCAUCUGGGCAUCAGCCUAGAUGUUUCCAUGGUCCCAGAACCAUGGGAUCUGAGCAGCCACAAAGGAUGUAUGGGAGAUAGUGUUAUUGUCCCUAUUUUACAGGAGUGGAGACAAAUGAAGUGGCCGAGGUCACAAAGGAUAUCCAGGCCACAUGAAUCUCCACCUGAUGCCUUAACCACAGAGCAUCUUUCUCUGCACUAGAAGGUUAGUUCCGUAGAUAGCUGUUGGGUGCAGUUAGCUGGCCCAUCUCUAUAAAAGUCCCUAUGGCACAUGCUAGCUCCAGCCCCUUUUCAGACAGUGCAGAGCAGCAUUCUGCCCAUCAAGCACCUUGGCCUGUCACACAGUGGUGCCAUUUCUCUGGUGGAAGAAGACAACAAAAGAAUUUGACUACAAAUGAACAAAGCAGGUACCAGUAGGUUACACUGUGGUCAUAUCAGCUUCAUCAGCAAACACCUUCCCCUCUGAUGGAUUACGUGGUUAACUUCCCAGACUGGUGGUUUCACCCACCUGCCAGUGAAAGGGAGUCAUGUUUCAGGUGGGGGUUAUAGUGGCUGUGGCUUACAAACCAUGUGAUGUUGCACAACAGUUUAGGACAGGAAGUGAAGUAGAAUAGUGCACCUGAUUGAGAUGGUAGCAGGGUUUUCCAGAAGUAGUUUGGAGCCACCCAAGUCAGAAUCUGACCAGGACAUUGGAAUCCGGAUUUGGUAGCAAGUUCUGUGGGGUUUUUAAUGAUGGUUUGCGACCAGGGUUUAUAUCUGAACAACAGCACCUCUAGUGCCACAGUGCAGUGAUUCUUUACAUUUUCAGAUUUGAGACACUCUCAGAAAAUGCCAGCUCUUAGCUUUCACUCAUUUCUUGACUACAGAAAAAGAAUAGAGCAGUUUUUCUGCUGGAAAGAGAUCAGAAAGACCACAGCAGAGCAGAAUGUUUUUGACACAAUGGAUUCUUAUUUUAAAUCCCCCAGCACUCGGGUUGAGAAUCACUGCCCUAGCAGGAGGCUAGCUCAGCUCUGACGCUGAGGGAAGAGCACCAUCUACUGAAUCACCAGCUCCACUUGCUCCAGCGCCUUGCCUUUUCGACCCAGAUCUCCCCUACCAGCACUGAUCCAGACUAAUUCUUCUUGGCUUGCAAGGUUAUGCUGAGAUCAAACCAGACUGAGAUAGGUAAAGUCUCAAUGCACCCCAGUCAGAGCAGAACUAGGGCUGGGCAUUUAGGUGACAAACCAAAUGAUGUUUUUUAGCAACAGUCCUCCCAGUAACAGGAAUUUUCUCACUUGGUCCAUUCCUCACUCUGUGCUCCUGGCUAUCAGUUACAUACUGCUCCCUACUGGGUAGUUGAUUGAAAGAGUGGCAGAAAAGCAAGAUGUGGGGGUCAGGCAGUGUAGAUGACAAUAAUCAUCCCAGCUCUGUUUUGAUAGCACUGUAGUGAUGCUCAUACACACACGUGCCAUCAGUUAAGUUAUCACAGCAGCAAUUCAAACAGCAUAAAAUAGAUCAAAUAAAAAUCAAAUACAAUUCUAUAAAACCAA